RNAcentral lists this ribosomal RNA (332 nucleotides) under uncultured Pseudomonas sp. RNAcentral describes it as "bacterial SSU rRNA". It matches the Rfam family "Bacterial small subunit ribosomal RNA", at positions 25 to 359 of the family's 1533-position model. Lineage: Bacteria; Pseudomonadati; Pseudomonadota; Gammaproteobacteria; Pseudomonadales; Pseudomonadaceae. The record is from RNAcentral.
CAGAUUGAACGCUGGCGGCAUGCCUUACACAUGCAAGUCGAACGGCAGCGCGGACUUCGGUCUGGCGGCGAGUGGCGAACGGGUGAGUAACAUAUCGGAACGUGCCCUGGAGUGGGGGAUAACUAGUCGAAAGACUAGCUAAUACCGCAUACGAUCUACGGAUGAAAGUGGGGGAUCGCAAGACCUCAUGCUCGUGGAGCGGCCGAUAUCUGAUUAGCUAGUUGGUGGGGUAAAGGCCUACCAAGGCAUCGAUCAGUAGCUGGUCUGAGAGGACGACCAGCCACACUGGGACUGAGACACGGCCCAGACUCCUACGGGAGGCAGCAGAAGGG